Ficedula albicollis (Collared flycatcher) is the source of this 806-nucleotide long non-coding RNA. RefSeq lists it as uncharacterized. The transcript is spliced from 5 exons. Lineage: Eukaryota; Metazoa; Chordata; Aves; Passeriformes; Muscicapidae. The record is from RefSeq and is a predicted model, not a curated record.
UUGUAUCCAGUACUUCUUGUCUCAUCACUACAGUUCCUGAUGAAGAGUCCCUCUCCCAUUUCCUUGUUGGCUCCCUUCAGGGUUGCUCUCAAUCACUUAUCUGUCCAGCGUAUUGGUGUUCCUGGGAUUGCCAAGACCCAGCUGUAGGACCUGGCAUUUGGAUCUGUUUGGCUUCAUGAGGUUUGCCUCGGGCCACACUCAAGCCUGUGAAGGUCCCUUUGGAUGGCAUUGCUUCACUCCAGCGUUUCCACUGCACCAUACAGCUUGGAGCUGUCAACAGAUUUGCUGAGUCUGCAGGCUCAGAGGAAAUGUGAAUUCAGAUGGCAGAAUCUUUGUGUUGAGACAGGCUGGGAGUCAAACAAAUAUCUUGAGACCGGGAUCACUUUUGAUGCUUUGCCUCACACAGGAAAGGGCUGUCUGUAUGAUGUUCAUACUUCACCAUCAGAAUAUGUGUCUGCCCCUCUGGCUUUGAAAAUUGGUUUACUGAUGUUAUCCAUGAAAACAAAAUGUCACCUGAGCAUAAAGGAAUAGUUCUGCUGGUUGCUGCCAUGCUCUACAGAAGGAACUGUUGCCUUCCUGGUGGUGUUGGCUCCUUUUCCAGGAAUGUAGCAUGUUUUGCCCCUGCAGUAGAUAUUAUGUGACUUGAAUGAAUCACUUAGAUUCACUACCCUUCAGAGGCACAAGUAGUAACCGAUGUUUACUUUUGUCUGUUCAAUGCUUAUAAAAUGUUCAGUUUUAUUCCUGGAGCAUCCUCUCAUGUGAGGGUAAGGCUAUUUUCUGAAGAAAUUUGCAAGUAAAAUGCUCUU